Molecule: ribosomal RNA, 782 nt
Filed under: uncultured bacterium
Lineage: Bacteria
Description: bacterial SSU rRNA
Rfam family: Bacterial small subunit ribosomal RNA
Source: RNAcentral
ACGGUAGUCCUUCGGGAUGAGAGUGGCGAACGGGUGAGUAAUAUAUCGGAACAUAUCCGUAAGUGGGGGAUAACGUAGAGAAAUUUACGCUAAUACCGCAUAUUCCCUGAGGGGGAGAGGAGGGAAUUCGCAAGAACCUUUCGCUGACGGAGUGGCCGAUAUCGGAUUAGCUAGUAGGUGAGGUAAAGGCUCACCUAGGCGACGAUCCGUAGCGGGUCUGAGAGGAUGAUCCGCCACACUGGAACUGAGACACGGUCCAGACUCCUACGGGAGGCAGCAGUGGGGAAUUUUGGACAAUGGGCGAAAGCCUGAUCCAGCCAUACCGCGUGAGUGAAGAAGGCCUUCGGGUUGUAAAGCUCUUUCAGCCGGAAAGAAAUCGCACUUUUUAAUACGGAGUGUGGAUGACGGUACCGGAAGAAGAAGCACCGGCUAACUACGUGCCAGCAGCCGCGGUAAUACGUAGGGUGCGAGCGUUAAUCGGAAUUACUGGGCGUAAAGCGUGCGCAGGCGGUUUGAUAAGCCAGAUGUGAAAUCCCCGGGCUUAACCUGGGAACUGCAUUUGGAACUGUCAGACUAGAGUGUAGCAGAGGGGGGUAGAAUUCCACGUGUAGCAGUGAAAUGCGUAGAUAUGUGGAGGAAUACCAAUGGCGAAGGCAGCCCCCUGGGUUAACACUGACGCUCAUGCACGAAAGCGUGGGGAGCAAACAGGAUUAGAUACCCUGGUAGUCCACGCCCUAAACGAUGUCAACUAGUUGUUGGGGGAGGAGACUUCCUUAGUAACG